GACGAACAGUGCGAACGUUGUUCGGAAUCACUGGGCAUAAAGGGCGCGUAGGCGGCUUUUCAAGUCAGGGGUGAAAUCCGGCAGCUCAACUGUCGAAGUGCCCUUGAUACUGAUGAGCUCGAGGGAGGUAGGGGUGUGUGGAACUUCCGGUGGAGCGGUGAAAUGCGUUGAUAUCGGAAGGAACGCCGGUGGCGAAAGCGACGCACUGGACCUCUUCUGACGCUGAGGCGCGAAAGCGUGGGGAGCGAACAGG
This 253-nucleotide ribosomal RNA is filed under the name uncultured bacterium. RNAcentral describes it as "partial 16S ribosomal RNA". It matches the Rfam family "Bacterial small subunit ribosomal RNA", at positions 524 to 776 of the family's 1533-position model. The record is from RNAcentral.